RNAcentral lists this small RNA (2375 nucleotides) under Histoplasma capsulatum G186AR. Its description in RNAcentral is "hypothetical RNA". The record is from RNAcentral. Lineage: Eukaryota; Fungi; Ascomycota; Eurotiomycetes; Onygenales; Ajellomycetaceae.
UGACUACGGAGUACAACAACCAUGCCUUCCUACGGGUUUAUUUGCCGAUGCAACGAAAUGACCGUCUCACCGCCCUGGUUUAGCGCGUUUGGUACGCAGCAGCGCGGGGAGCUCGAAUUCAGUGAGCAGGACUGCAGACGAGGCUAGCAUCUUUUAGUUAACCCUUGGCCUGUUCCGCGGCAUGAGCGAAUAGAAGCAUCGAGGUCUGAGAAAUUCGUCCUGGAUCUGCGGGCUCUGGUUUCUUUAAAUAGCGCGGCAAGGCAUGCAAGUGGAGAGUGGGAGGAGAUGAAUUCCUAGAUUCGUCUACCUUCUAUGUGAUGCGCAGUACUGCACAUGCACUGUACAACUAGAUGAUGACUCCUAUGGGCUGCCCGUGUCUCUAACGAGUUACGAUGUGUAUGCCAGCCGAUUCUGUACCGAACAGUGAUUAAUCGCCUUUUAGGCACACCUGGCAGAUCAACGUGGCAAUAAAAUCUAGACAAACAAACAGUUGGGGGUAAGUUAUUUAUUAUGAAUUCCAUUGUCGUCAGCCGGCACAUGCAUACAGCACAGAAUAACUAUUCAUGAAAAACGGCGUGAGCCAACCUUGUUUGAGCCAACCGGCAAUAAUGCCCAAUUGAAAAAAAAAAAAAAAAAAAAAAAAGGAGCCAGUGUCAGCCGGCUGAGCAGGUAAAUGAAAUGGAAAUUACAAAGGAAAAGAAAAAAGAAAAGGGAAAGGAAAAGGAAAAGGAUUAGAGAGAAAAUAUGGAUUAAAAAUAGUGGUGUGUAGGAAAAGAUUUGUUUUAUGUCAAAACCACCGGUACUAUUUUCGUUUACCUGUCGUCGUCCAUAACUUGACAAAUUGCUGCUUAUCCUUGGCACCCAGUCCAACCCGUCUCACUCGCCCCAGUCGAGCCAGCGACUCACCAACUUGGUUUAGCAGCGUCUGUUCCAUGCUCGUUAACGACGCAUCGAGAUCCAUGCGUGACUCGGCCAGCCUCGCGUCUAAUGCGUUAAAGUAAUUAUGGUCAUACGAAGGCUGGCCGUCUGUGGGUCCAAGGCGGGAUCCGUUAUGAAUAUUAUUAUUUUUCGUACUUUUGGUUUGGGUCGGGAGCAGGACGCUCUCCGCAAUCCUCACGCGGAUGCAGUGGGUAGGUUUGCUCAGGAGAUUCCACAUGAAAGACCUGUACGAUUGUGGUAUCGGAGUCGUGAUGUCCGCGGGGGUGUACCUCAGGCUGACAGGGAAAAUUCUUGUUGCUGCAGAGACCGCGACGAGAGACGGACUCAUCUGCAGGAUGCCUUUACCGUUCGUCGUCGUGCAUUCAGGAAAUACUACAAUGGGGCUGUUAGGGUGCCGUUUUAUCAGCGUUGCUAUAUCCACAAGGCGCGAGCCUGCGGGUGGCUUCACUUCGGGGCGGGCGAAUGCCCGAAGAAUAGCCUGAACAAGGGAUAUCUGCUGGACUUUGCACGUUGAAGGAUACGACACUGUGAAUAUGGGAUCGAAUAUGGCGGCAAGGUAGAGAGCGUCGAUUGGGGAAGUAAAUGACGAAGCGAUUACGGACGCGGGCCCUGGGAGUGGGGAGGAGUGCUGCGAGGCUAGCGAUCUGUCAAACACAUGGUUAGAGCUCCAGUAGCGGACAUACCCGGUGGAGCCCGGGGGUGUAGCAACACAAUCGCAUACCCUUUUUUGACGCCAUCUAUUUGAAGAUCAAUCCACCAUAUACCUGGAAUUCCCAGCAUUACCCACAAGGAGGCUUUCUUACCCAGGGAUCCUAUGGGAAGCCAUUGGAGCACGCAAAAGUAGGCGGCAAAUGCGGUGAUCAGCAGCGGCAGCCGCAUGCAGAAGAGAAAUAUGUGGAAUGGGAGAUAUAUGCCGGAGUGUUGGGAAGAGAUAGGUAGGAAAGGAGCGAUUCCCGAACCUAGAAAACGUUCGUCAGCCACGAUGAUGGUUUAAGCUGUGUGGUGUGCACGAAGGGCAGUUCUGUGGCAAAGGGCAUACCUCUAUCUCUGAACUGAGAAAAUUUCUCCAUGACGAGAGUGACGCAAAUGAUACACCCCCAGUUCUCGUGUCGUCGUGGGGGAGGUAAAAAGUCGUGGUGCUUCGGAGUGGUGGGAAAUCACAUGCACCUGAAGCGGAAUGAAGCCUCUCAACAACAAAACUUGUGUUUGUGUUGGAGGAAUGCAGGAUGAAGAAAGGACGGCAGGGUCAAGGGCAAGGAAACAAGCUAAAACACAUUUUUAAAUGCGUGGCUUCCGGCGACUCUUCAGCUUGUGCCGUCUCGCCUGUUCUCGCUUUUGUUCUCGUUGGGUUCUUCGUCGUGAAUCCCAGUAGUAGUUAGUUAGUUACGGAGUAGCAACGGCGAGAGAUAAAAGCUCCGUGAGGAGCAUUAGUCAGC